Molecule: long non-coding RNA, 1004 nt
Organism: Dicentrarchus labrax (European seabass)
Lineage: Eukaryota; Metazoa; Chordata; Actinopteri; Moronidae
Exons: 3
Source: RefSeq, a predicted model, not a curated record
AGAACAGGUGAGAACGGAUGAGAACAGGUGAGAAUAGGUGAGAACGGAUGAGAACAGGUGAGAGCGGGUGAGAACAGGUGAGAACAGAUGAGAACGGGUGAGAACGGGUGAGACCACGUGAGAACGGAUGAGAACAGGUGAGAACAGGUGAGAACGGAUGAGAACAGGUGAGAGCGGGUGAGAACAGGUGAGAACAGAUGAGAACGGGUGAGAACGGGUGAGACCACGUGAGAACGGGUGAGAACGGGUGAGAACGGGUGAAACCACGUGAGAACAGGUGAGAACAGGUGAGAACUGAUGAGAACGGGUGAGAACAGCAGAGAACGGGUGAGACCGGGUGAGACCGGGUGAGAACAGGUGAGAACAGGUGAGAACGGGUGAGAACGGGUGAGACCACGUGAGAACAGGUGAGAACAGGUGAGAACAGGUGAGAACGGAUGAGAACGGGUGAGAACGGGUGAGACCACGUGAGAACAGGUGAGAACAGGUGAGAACGGGUGAGACCACUUGAGUACGGGUGAGACCACGUGAGAACAGGUGAGAACGGGUGAGAACAGGCGAGAACGGAUGAGAAUGGGUGAGAACGGGUGAGACCAUGUGAGAACAGGUGAGAACGGGUGAGAACGGGUGAGAACGGGUGAGAACGUGUCAGAACAGGCAAGAACGGAUGAGAAUGGGUGAGAACGGGUGAGACCAUGUGAGAACAGGUGAGAACAGGUGAGACCACGUGAGAACAGGUGAGAACGGGUGAGACCACAUGAGAACGGGUGAGACCACGUGAGAACAGGUGAGAACGGGUGAGACCACGUUAGAACGGGUGAGACCACGUGAGAACAGGUGAGAACGGAUGAGAAUGGGUGAGACCACGUGAGAACAGGUGAAGUGGAUGAGAACAAGUGAGAACAGGUGAGAACGGGUGAGACCACGUUAGAACAGGUGAGAACGGGUGAGAACAGGUGAGAAUGGGUGAGAACGGAUGAAAAUGGGUGAGAACGGGUGAGAAC